RNAcentral lists this unclassified non-coding RNA (429 nucleotides) under soil metagenome. RNAcentral describes it as "partial contains 5.8S ribosomal RNA, internal transcribed spacer 2, and large subunit ribosomal RNA". The stretch from base 1 to 120 matches the Rfam family "5.8S ribosomal RNA", at positions 35 to 154 of the family's 154-position model. The record is from RNAcentral.
GAUGAAGAACGUAGCGAAACGCGAUAGUUAAUGUGAAUUGCAGAAUUCAGUGAAUCAUCGAGUCUUUGAACGCACAUUGCGCCUUUUGGUAUUCCGAAAGGCACGUCUGUUCGAGCGUCAGUAAAAACCCUUCCGGACCGGUGGUGUUUUUUCGUAAAAAGGAAAAACCUGCCUGGCCUCGGGACCCUGGCGUGGGGAAGUGGAACCCUGGUCUCCGGCCUGGUGUUUUUUCCCCCGCUUAAACGCGGAGAAAGCUAGCGGGCAUUCGGCCUCACAUAUUGCGACAACUCGUAAAAACUUUUUCUUAUAAGUUGUAACCGCUCACAGUGGAACCUGCCCCGCCUCUUGCAAAAUUUUUUUACUUUGAACCAUUGACCUCGGAUCAGAUGAGGAUACCCGCUGAACUUAAGCAUAUCAAUAAGCGGAGGA